UAAAUAAAACAAGAGGCUGUCACAACGACAGCAAACCGGAUUUAUUAACAUUUAUUUGUGUCCUGGCAAUAUCACAAGAACCAUUACUGAUGAAUGGUGAAAGUGAAAAUCGUCAAUUUCAAAUUUGACCUCCAUUUUGUCAUCAGUAUCAACAUAUUAAAAUUUGAAAAGCUUAGAUUGAAUGGUUCAUGAGUAAAUGCAACCUGAAUGGAAACGCUAUUUUACGAUCUUUCAAGAACCAUAACUCCUGAACGGUAAAAGUCAAAAUCGUCAUUAUUGAAC
RNAcentral lists this long non-coding RNA (282 nucleotides) under Mytilus galloprovincialis (Mediterranean mussel). Lineage: Eukaryota; Metazoa; Mollusca; Bivalvia; Mytilida; Mytilidae. The record is from RNAcentral.